GCCGAAGUGGCGGAAUUGGUAGACGCGCUAGCUUCAGGAGCUAGUUCCCACCUUGGGAGUGCGAGUUCAACUCUCGCCUUCGGCACCA
This 88-nucleotide transfer RNA is filed under the name Candidatus Magasanikiibacteriota bacterium. RNAcentral describes it as "tRNA-Leu". It matches the Rfam family "tRNA". Rfam says of the family: Transfer RNA (tRNA) molecules are approximately 80 nucleotides in length. Lineage: Bacteria; Candidatus Magasanikiibacteriota. The record is from RNAcentral.